RNAcentral lists this ribosomal RNA (386 nucleotides) under uncultured bacterium. RNAcentral's name for it is "bacterial SSU rRNA". It matches the Rfam family "Bacterial small subunit ribosomal RNA", at positions 120 to 501 of the family's 1533-position model. The record is from RNAcentral.
GGGAAACUGCUUGAUGGAGGGGGAUAAUUACUGGAAACGGUAGCUAAUACCGCAUAACGUCGCAAGACCAAAGAGGGGGACCUUCGGGCCUCUUGCCAUCGGAUGUGCCCAGAUGGGAUUAGCUAGUAGGUGGGGUAACGGCUCACCUAGGCGACGAUCCCUAGCUGGUCUGAGAGGAUGACCAGCCACACUGGAACUGAGACACGGUCCAGACUCCUACGGGAGGCAGCAGUGGGGAAUAUUGCACAAUGGGCGCAAGCCUGAUGCAGCCAUGCCGCGUGUAUGAAGAAGGCCUUCGGGUUGUAAAGUACUUUCAGCGGGGAGGAAGGUGUUGAGGUUAAUAACCUCAGCAAUUGACGUACCCNGCAGAAGAAGCACCGGCAACU